CAAAGCAAGCAGCAAGUUGUCGAAAUUUGUUCAAAUUGUUCUUCUAUUUUGUCGAAUAUUUUUUAUAACAAGUGCAUUCAUUUAAAGUAAAGAAGUUAUCAAUGUAUGGAAAUUAUAAGGAAAUUGUUGGCGACGUGAAACAAUUAUGAUUUUCAGGACUUUAUCUGUACGUCUCUUUCCUGUGAUUCCAGACAAAAUUGGCGUUUUUGGUAAAGGAUGGUGACCUUUAAAGAAUAUUAUGACCACAAAGAAUGUUAUCGUGAGUCAUUUAAUUGCAUUUACGUAAGUUUUAUUACGAAAUUUAAUAUUCAUUGCAAAUGUGCG
Molecule: long non-coding RNA, 324 nt
Organism: Leptopilina boulardi
Lineage: Eukaryota; Metazoa; Arthropoda; Insecta; Hymenoptera; Figitidae
Exons: 3
Source: RefSeq, a predicted model, not a curated record